GCCGAGCCCGAUCCUCACUCUUUUGCUAUGUUCUUCAUUUGCAGUUGCUUGUUCUUGCUCUCAUCUCCGGAUAUUCAUUCAUUUCAUCAUUUCUACACUGUUAUCGGCUUGUUAAAAGGUCACUAGCUUCAUCUUCUCAAUAUUUAGCAGCGUCAUAUGUUAUUUCCUAGUGUUAUGUAUAUUGUUUUUUAUUUUAUAGUUUUUUUUAAGAGGUCACUAGCUUCAUCUUCUCAACAUCAUCGACACGUUUUUUAGAGAAAUAGUGAUACUAUGGCUUUUUUAUUUUAAUUAGUUUAGAAAAAAAAUAAAAACUUAUAAUCCUUUAAUUUGCAAUUUGUGAUCGAGUUAAUUAGUUAAUUAUAACUAGUAUCCAUACCACAUUUCAUGAUUAGUUACAAAAAUAGAGAACUUUUGUGCUAUUUUAAUUUUGCUUGUUUA
Molecule: long non-coding RNA, 438 nt
Filed under: Sorghum bicolor (sorghum)
Lineage: Eukaryota; Viridiplantae; Streptophyta; Magnoliopsida; Poales; Poaceae
Description: long non-coding RNA (SBIC_LNC008635)
Source: RNAcentral